AGGCAUCCCUAAUGAGAGGAAAUCAGAUCUCCUCCCUCCCCUUGCUUCACUUCUGAAGGUUGAUGCACAAGGCUUCAUCUCGCUUUUCUAUGGAGCUUGGCAUGCGUGCGAAGUAGAGGGCUUGUGCUUUCAGACCUCCUGAGGUAUCGGAUUCAAAUUAUCUUUGGGGAUUUGAUCCCUAUUCCACUGUGAUCAAGGUAAUCCAUAAUUGUUAUGCAAGCUUUUAUAUAGAAAAGUUUUCAAAACACACCCUGGUGAUCCGAUCAGAUUGGAUACUUUCCCUUCAAUUGGUAUUAGAGUAGGAUUGAUGCAUGCUAUGCAUAGUUUUUUUUUUUUGAUAUUUUUAUAUGAGAUAUAUGAUCAAAAUUUUAUAUAGGACAUUACAUC
RNAcentral lists this long non-coding RNA (387 nucleotides) under Elaeis guineensis (African oil palm). RNAcentral's name for it is "long non-coding RNA (EGUI_LNC063937)". The record is from RNAcentral. Lineage: Eukaryota; Viridiplantae; Streptophyta; Magnoliopsida; Arecales; Arecaceae.